Molecule: long non-coding RNA, 223 nt
Filed under: Rattus norvegicus (Norway rat)
Lineage: Eukaryota; Metazoa; Chordata; Mammalia; Rodentia; Muridae
Description: long non-coding RNA NONRATT029621
Source: RNAcentral
GGUGUAUUGAGGAUCAAUCCAAAGAAGUUUCAUGAAGCCUUCAUUCCUUCUCCGGAUGGUGAUCGGGACAUUUUUAUUGAUGGAGUUGUUGCUCGUAAUAGAGCCUUAAAUGGGGACCUUGUGGUUGUAAAACUGCUUCCUGAGGACCAGUGGAAGCCAAGGAUAACCUUGUCUCUGCCUGGAGUGCUGGGAUUACAGUCUUGAAAUACAGCCCAUUAAUUUU